UACAGAGACUGCAAGCGUUAUUCGGAUUCACUGGGCGUAAAGCGUGCGCAGGCGGCUAUGCAAGACAGAUGUGAAAUCCCCCGGGCUCAACCUGGGAACUGCAUUUGUGACUGCAUAGCUAGAGUACGGUAGAGGGGGGGAUGGAAAUUCCGCGUGUAGCAGUGAAAAAUGCGUAGAUAUGCGGGAGGGAAACACCCGAUGGCGAA
Molecule: ribosomal RNA, 206 nt
Filed under: uncultured bacterium
Lineage: Bacteria
Description: partial 16S ribosomal RNA
Rfam family: Bacterial small subunit ribosomal RNA
Source: RNAcentral